This 21-nucleotide microRNA is filed under the name Zea mays. Its description in RNAcentral is "zma-miR166g-5p". Its record names the gene zma-miR166g-5p. RNAcentral also lists the same sequence under 2 other names. Lineage: Eukaryota; Viridiplantae; Streptophyta; Magnoliopsida; Poales; Poaceae. The record is from miRBase by way of RNAcentral.
GGAAUGUUGUCUGGUUGGAGA